RNAcentral lists this ribosomal RNA (857 nucleotides) under Cellulomonas sp. VC-CS252. RNAcentral's name for it is "bacterial SSU rRNA". It matches the Rfam family "Bacterial small subunit ribosomal RNA", at positions 68 to 936 of the family's 1533-position model. Lineage: Bacteria; Bacillati; Actinomycetota; Actinomycetes; Micrococcales; Cellulomonadaceae. The record is from RNAcentral.
GGGGAGCACCAAAUUGCUGGUCUGAUCAGUGGCGAACGGGUGANUAACACGUGAGCAACCUGCCCCUGACUCUGGGAUAACGACCGGAAACGGUCGCUAAUACCGGAUAUGAGACGUACAGGCAUCUGUUGCGUCUGGAAAGUUUUUCGGUCAGGGAUGGGCUCGCGGCCUAUCAGCUUGUUGGUGGGGUAACGGCCUACCAAGGCGACGACGGGUAGCCGGCCUGAGAGGGCGACCGGCCACACUGGGACUGAGACACGGCCCANACUCCUACGGGAGGCAGCAGUGGGGAAUAUUGCACAAUGGGCGCAAGCCUGAUGCAGCGACGCCGCGUGAGGGAUGACGGCCUUCGGGUUGUAAACCUCUUUCAGCAGGGAAGAAGCGCAAGUGACGGUACCUGCAGAAGAAGCGCCGGCUAACUACGUGCCAGCAGCCGCGGUAAUACGUAGGGCGCAAGCGUUGUCCGGAAUUAUUGGGCGUAAAGAGCUCGUAGGCGGUUUGUCGCGUCUGCUGUGAAAACCUCAGGCUCAACCUGGGGCUUGCAGUGGGUACGGGCAGACUAGAGUGCGGUAGGGGUGACUGGAAUUCCUGGUGUAGCGGUGGAAUGCGCANAUAUCAGGAGGAACACCGAUGGCGAAGGCAGGUCACUGGGCCGCAACUGACGCUGAGGAGCGAAAGCAUGGGGAGCGAACAGGAUUAGAUACCCUGGUAGUCCAUGCCGUAAACGUUGGGCACUAGGUGUGGGGCUCAUUCCACGAGCUCUGUGCCGCAGCAAACGCAUUAAGUGCCCCGCCUGGGGAGUACGGCCGCAAGGCUAAAACUCAAAGAAAUUGACGGGGGCCCGCACAAGCGGCGGA